GUCCACGCUGUAAACGAUGAGUGCUAGGUGCUGUGGGUAUUGACCCCCGCGGUGCCGAAGCUAACGCGAUAAGCACUCCGCCUGGGGAGUACGGCCGCAAGGCUAAAACUCAAAGGAAUUGACGGGGGCCCGCACAAGAGGUGGAGCAUGUGGUUCAAUUCGACGCAACGCGCAGAACCUUACCUGGGUUAAAUCCACACGAACUCGUCAGAGAUGACUUGGUGCCCUUCGGGGAAUGUGUGAGACGGUGCUGCAUGGCUGUCGU
RNAcentral lists this ribosomal RNA (265 nucleotides) under uncultured bacterium. RNAcentral's name for it is "partial 16S ribosomal RNA". It matches the Rfam family "Bacterial small subunit ribosomal RNA", at positions 793 to 1055 of the family's 1533-position model. The record is from RNAcentral.